RNAcentral lists this ribosomal RNA (5574 nucleotides) under Candidatus Gottesmanbacteria bacterium. RNAcentral's name for it is "23S ribosomal RNA". The stretch from base 1 to 3184 matches the Rfam family "Bacterial large subunit ribosomal RNA". Lineage: Bacteria; Candidatus Gottesmaniibacteriota. The record is from RNAcentral.
AUGGAUGCCUUGGUGGUUUUGGCCGAGGAAGGACGCAUGCAUACUUGCGAUAUCGUCGGGAAGGCAGUCAGCAGCCUUUGAUCCGGUGGUUUCCGAAUGGGGCAACCCCCCCGACUAAGUCGGGGAGCCAUACAGACAAAUCCCGAGCAAUCGGGAACAUAGCCGUAUGGUAGGUAAGCAGGUGAACUGAAACAUCUAACUAACCUGAAGAAAAGACAUCAAUAGAGAUUCCGUCAGUAGCGGCGAGCGAAAGCGGAACAGCCUAAACCCUGUCGAAAGACAGGGGGUUGUAGGGCUUCCGAUAUGGGAUGAGAUGCAGGUAGCGGAAUUGCUUGGAAUAGCAAACCAUAGAGCGUGAAAGUCGUGUACGCGAAACCUAAAUCUCCUCUAGGGAGUACCUAAGUACUACGGGGCACGGCAAAACCCCGUAGGAAGCUGGGACGUCCACGUUCCAAGGCUAAAUACCAAAACCAACCGAUAGUGAACGAGUACCGUGAGGGAAAGGUGAAAAGCACCCCGGUGAGGGGAAUGAAAUAGUACCUGAAAUUGUCGACUAACAAACAGUGAGAGUCCCGAUUUAAUCGGGAUGAUCACGUGCCUAUUGAAGAAUGAACCGAUGAGUUGUCGUAACGUUCCAAGUCUAACCAACUUUGUUGGGGAGGCGCAGUGAAAGCGAGCCCUAAUUGGGCUAUUUAGGAGCGGACGACAGACCCGAAACCGGGUGAGCUAACCAUGGACAGGGUGAGUCCCGAGGAAACUCGGGAGGAGGCCCGAACCCUUCAGAGCUGCAAAUCUGUGGGACGAUCUGUGGUUAGGGGUAAUAUGCCUAUCGAACCCGGAGAUAGCUGGUUCUCCUCGAAAUAUAUUUAGGUAUAGCGUCCGUUUAUACGAUCCUGGGGGUAGAGCACUGAAUGGGUUACCAAGCGUAAGCGAGGCAGCUCAAUCAAACUCCGAAUACCAGUGACGUUAUACGGGCAGUCAGUCCGGCUCGGCUAAGCGAGUCAGGUCGAGUGGGGGAAAAACCCAAACUCCCAAUUAAGGUCCCUAAAUCUUGACUAAGUUGAAAAGGAAGUGAGAUUUCUAAAACACCCAGGAGGUUGGCUUAGAAGCAGCCACCCUUUAAAGAAAGCGUAACAGCUCACUGGACGAGAGGUCUUGCGCCGAAAAUGAACGGGGAUCAAGUCAAGUGCCGAAAUUGGAGGUCUUAUCGCAAGAUAAGGCAGUAGAGGAGCGUUCCUAUCGCAGUGAAGGUGUGCCGUAAGGCUAGCUGGAGUGAUAGGAAGUGCGAAUGUCGGUAUGAGUAGCGUAAUUUCGGUGAAAAUCCGAAGCGCCGUAAGCCCAAGGUUUCCGUCCCAACGUUGAUCGGGGACGGGUAAGUCGGAUCUAAGGCAAGUCCCGAUUUAAUCGGGAGUAGCUCGAUGUAGAAGCCGUUGAUAUUCGGCUACAAUGGAGAAAGGUUUCAUAAGGGGAAGACGAAAUUGGAGAGACAGAUCCCGAUUUAAUCGGGACUAAGCCAUAAGAUAGUAGUAACUGGAAAAUCCGUUAUUGCGUUUAAUCAAGUGGUGAUGGAGAGUCCAAAGAGCAAUCUGCGGGCAAUUCUGUACCUUUUCAGGUUCCAAGAAAACUCUCACUAUGUUCUGGGGCGCAAGUCUCAGAAAACUUUCUUUAUUUCCGUACCGCAAACCGACACAGGUGGGCUGGUAGAGUAUACCAAGGCGAUCGGGAGAAAAUGGCUCAAGGAACUCGGCAAAACAGCUGGGCGUAACCUAUGGGAGAUGCCCUGCCUCACGAAAGUGGGGCCACAGCAAAAGACACUUACCAACUGUUUAACUAAAACACAGGUCUCUGCAAAGCCGAAAGGCAACGUAUAGGGGCUGACGCCUGCCCAGUGCACGUAGGUUAAGAAUCAUGGGUGACCCCGAUUUAAUCGGGAAAGCUUGAGAUUCAAGCCCGUGUGAACGGCAGCAGUAACUAUGAAACCGGAAAUCCGGAGUUGUAGUUGUAAAAUGUGACUAUAUGCUGGGACAUCCCGUGUAUCUGAACAUACGAGAAAAUAUCAAAAAUUAAAUAUCAAAUAUCAAAAAUACAUAGUAAAAAUCAAAUUUUUCGCGUAAAAAAUGUUCAGUGGGGAUAAUCAGCAGGUAACCGCGCCAAAAAUUUCAUAUUUAGGCGGGGGAAUCCUCAGAGACCAUAAGUCACAUCCUAAAUGAUUUAGGAAUGAUAUGGUCCGGACUCAUGGGCGACCAUGAGACUCUGUAAGCAAUCAGAGUCCGCCAGUUGGCGGAUAACAAUUCGAACUGUUCUAUGGUGAAACCUGAAAGAAGGUUCGCUGCCAUAGUGAGGUGUAAACCCUCCGUUAUGUGCGUAUGCCGAUACGCGCUAAAACGAAAACUUGACUAUAUGCUGGAAACACUCGUGUAUCCAACGGUACCGCAAUGAGGUAAAAAUCUGUUUGGUGGAGUCAAUCAGCAGGAAAGAUCCCGAUUAAAUCGGGAAAUCCUCAGAGACUAUACGUCAGGAUUCGCCUCAAGAGGCGAAAUAAGAUAUAGUCCAAACUUCGAACAUAUCGAAGAUUUAGAGCGAAAUUCCUUGUCGGGUAAGUUCCGACCCGCACGAAAGGCAGAAUGAGUAAGUGACUGUCUUGAGCCGUUGCCCGGCGAAAUUGAAAUGGCUGUGAAGAUGCGGCCUACUUGCACCAGGACAAAAAGACCCCGUGGAGCUUUACUGCAACUUGGCAUUGAGAAGGCGUUUGAAACUGUCGAGUAUAGGAGGGAGUCCCGCAAGGGACACAAGUGGAAUACCUCUCUUUUCAAACGUUGACCCUUAUCUCUUGGCCGCACAAAUAUCCGGCAGGGAGACAGUGUCUGGUGGGCAGUUUCGCUGGGGAGGUGGCCUCCAAAAUCGUAACGGAGGCGUACAUAAGGUUGGCUUAACACCAAUGGAAACGGUGUUGUACGUGCAAACGCAUAAGCCAGCUUCACUGCGAGACCUACAAGUCGAGCAGAUGCGAAAGCAGGUGUUAGUGAUCCUCGGAUCCGCAGUGGUUGCGGACCGAGCUUAACGGAUAAAAGCUACCCCGGGGAUACAUUCUGUGUCCCGUCCCGAUAGUAUAUACUAAUAUCGGGACUUGGAACGGCUAAUAACGGUGGAAUCCAAAACUGUGGUAAGUUACGGUCUUUACUUACACGAGGCACAGUUUGGACAAUACCGUGGGAAGUUAGGAAAAUGAAUAAACAUAAACAAUCGAUUCUGACUGGAAUGAUUUUAGGAGAUGCUUAUUUACAGAAGACUGGAAAAAACAACGCGCGUAUCCGACUUGAGCAUAGCGAAAAAUCUAGAGAUUAUCUUCUCUGGAAAGGAGCUUGCUUUCCUGAAUAUUUUCAGGGAAAACCAAAAAGAUACGUACGAUUUAAUCCGAUCUUUAAAAAAACGUAUAUCUAUCUGAGAUGGCAAUCAUCUGCAUCUCCUGAGAUAGGCAAAUUGCAGCGAUUAUUUUAUAUCGAUCAUAAAAAAAUCAUUCCCAAGGAUCUCGAUGAACUUUUGGUUGAUCCAAUUUCACUGGCUGUAUGGUAUCAAGAUGAUGGUUAUUACUAUAAACGAGACAAAAUGGCUUAUAUUUAUUUGCCCAGAAUUUCUUCAGAUGAGUUAAAUGUAUUGAUGCAUACACUACAGAAAAAUUUUGGAAUAAAUCCAAGAGUAAAAGUGAAGAAAAGAGGAAAUAGAGUCUUGGUAUUUCCGGUUGAAGAGACAAAGAAAUUAUUUUCUCUCAUUGAACCAUAUAUUAUACCUUCCAUGAGGUAUAAAAUUUCCUAACCCCGUAUCGACUGAGCAUUAAGUUGCGAGGUCCCGAUAAAGUAUCGGGACAAGAUGCCGUCUCCCUCACAUACAAGUAUGUGAGGGAUGAAGAUAUAGUCAACGCCCCGAUGUAAAUCGGGGAAAUAUUAUACGUGAACAGGCUGAUCGCGUCCGAGAGUCCAUAUCGACGACGCGGUUUGGCACCUCGAUGUCGGCUCUCUGCAAAGUGCAGAGUGGGCCCUUUGCCUAGUAAUAGGCAAAAGCAAAUUUGGCUCAUAACGGUGGAGCCCUCUAUAUAACUUGAUAUAAUUUAUAUAUGGGUAAUACCGUAGGAAGUCGAGGAGUUUUAACUAGUAGACAAAGAGAAAUUCUCGUUGGAACAUUGCUGGGAGAUGCGCACUUGGAGAAGAACGGAAGAUAUACUCGCUUACGUGUAGAUCAUUAUGAUAGACACAAAGAGUAUAUAUUCUGGUUAGUCAAUGAGUUUCUACCAUUUUCUUUAAAACCUCGUCGAAUUAUUGAGGUCGAUAAAAGAAAUGGGAAGACUUAUACAAGAUGGCAUUUUUCCACAAAAAGUUUAUCAAAUUUUGAUCCAUUCAGAGAACUAUUUUACUUUCAGGGAAGGAAAAUUAUUCCUUCUAACCUUGAUCGUAUAAUUACACCUUUGUCUCUAGCUAUUUGGUAUAUGGAUGAUGGAUUUAAAAGACAGGAUUCUAAAGGUUUCUAUCUUUGCACAUCAUCCUUUACGAGUGAAGAACAAAAUAUCUUGCAAAAAUUAUUGCAUAAGCGCUUCAACCUGGAUACCAAGAUUCAUCAUCAACAUGAAUUAUCACGAAUCUUUGUUCCUUCCGCGUAUGCGGAUGUAUUUAAUAAUUUGGUUAAGCCAUUUGUUCUUCCAAUCUUUAGUUAUAAACUCCUUUGACCCUCUAACGACUUCCCAAUUUUAUUGGGAGAUUUUAACUAUUUAUUAGUUAGGAUAAUACGCCAAGCCCCCGCAGUCCGCCAGCUGGCGGAUCGGGGUGAUGGUAUAGUCUAACCCUUACGGAAACGUGAGAUAAGGUUGCAUCCUAUCCUGGGGCUGAAGAAGGUCCCAAUGGUCCGGCUGUUCGCCGGUUAAAAGGGUACGCGAGCUGGGUUCAGAACGUCGUAAGACAGUAGACCUUAGUAGUUCGACACUACUAUAAUGAGCUGUCUUUCCUUCACCGUUUUGAACAAUAAGAGAAUUGAAGGAAUCCUAUAAUAUAAGUAUUAUAGGGAUAAAUUUGGCUAAAUGCUGGAAACUCCGAGUAUCUUGUGCUACCUUAAUUUAAUAAGAAAGGUAAAAAUGCAACAAGUGCGGACAAUUAGCAGGAAAGAUCCCGAUUAAAUCGGGAAAUCCUCAGAGACUAUAUGCCAGAUGAUGUACCGUAUGGUGCGUCAAAGAUAUAGUCCGAACUGCAUGGCGACAUGCAGACCGUAGCAGAAAUGUUUACGGCCACAAAGAAAUUGUGAGUAACAAAUUGUCGGUCUCUAUCCGGUGCAAGCGUUGGAUACUUGAGGGGAGCUCUUGCUAGUACGAGAGGACUGCGAGGGAGGAAUCCCUGGUGAGCCAGUUGUUUCCCAUUGGGAGCAAAGCUGGGUAGCUACAUUCCUACGGGAUAAGCGCUGAAAGCAUCUGAAGCGCCAAGCCCACCCCAAGAUAAGGUAUCCCUUUAGACCCCUUGUAGAAUACAAGGUUGAUAGGCGGAAAGUGUACACACGGCAACGUGCUUAGCUUAUCCGUACUAAUUGGUCGAGAGU